CUUCAGUGAUGAUACGAUGACGAGUCGGAAUGGAACACAGCCUGUCUCUGGGGUCACAGGGUCAGGGUCACGUUCUGUGUCUCUGGGUUCAGUACCCCAGAGCAGUGUGUUUUUUCAGUUGAAGACAUCGAGGCAUUUGUCUGAGAAGG
Molecule: small nucleolar RNA, 149 nt
Organism: Esox lucius (northern pike)
Lineage: Eukaryota; Metazoa; Chordata; Actinopteri; Esociformes; Esocidae
Source: Ensembl